This 273-nucleotide ribosomal RNA is filed under the name uncultured Sphingobacteriales bacterium. Its description in RNAcentral is "partial 16S ribosomal RNA". It matches the Rfam family "Bacterial small subunit ribosomal RNA", at positions 1111 to 1382 of the family's 1533-position model. Lineage: Bacteria; Pseudomonadati; Bacteroidota; Sphingobacteriia; Sphingobacteriales. The record is from RNAcentral.
UUAGUUGCCAUCAGGUCAAGCUGGGGACUCUAAUGAAACUGCCUACGCAAGUAGUGAGGAAGGUGGGGAGUGACGUCAAAUCAGCACGGCCCUUACGUCCAGGGCUACACACGUGCUACAAUGGCCGGUACAAAGGGCAGCUACCUGGUGACAGGAUGCUAAUCUCAAAAGCCGGUCUCAGUUCGGAUUGCAGUCUGCAACUCGACUGCAUGAAGCCGGAAUCGCUAGUAAUCGCAGAUCAGCCAAGCUGCGGUGAAUACGUUCCCGGGCCUU